Molecule: ribosomal RNA, 253 nt
Filed under: uncultured bacterium
Lineage: Bacteria
Description: partial 16S ribosomal RNA
Rfam family: Bacterial small subunit ribosomal RNA
Source: RNAcentral
UACGUAGGGCGCAAGCGUUAUCCGGAAUUAUUGGGCGUAAAGAGCUCGUAGGCGGUUUGUCGCGUCUGCCGUGAAAGUCCGGGGCUCAACCCCGGACUUGCGGUGGGUACGGGCAGACUAGAGUGUGGUAGGGGAGACUGGAAUUCCUGGUGUAGCGGUGAAAUGCGCAGAUAUCAGGAGGAACACCGGUGGCGAAGGCGGUUCUCUGGGCAUUACCUGACGCUGAGGAGCGAAAGUGUGGGGAGCGAACAGG